UGUGAUGGGGAGAAGACAUUGUGUCUUCGAGUCGUUGAUUUCACACUGCCGAGAAAAGCCUCUAGAUAGAAAAUAGGUGCCCGUACCGCAAACCGACACAGGUAGUCAAGAUGAGAAUUCUAAGGUGAGCGAGCGAACUCUCGUUAAGGAACUCGGCAAAAUGACCCCGUAACUUCGGGAGAAGGGGUGCUCUUUAGGGUUAACGCCCAGAAGAGCCGCAGUGAAUAGGCCCAAGCGACUGUUUAUCAAAAACACAGGUCUCUGCUAAACCGUAAGGUGAUGUAUAGGGGCUGACGCCUGCCCGGUGCUGGAAGGUUAAGAGGAGUGGUUAGCUUCUGCGAAGCUACGAAUCGAAGCCCCAGUAAACGGCGGCCGUAACUAUAACGGUCCUAAGGUAGCGAAAUUCCUUGUCGGGUAAGUUCCGACCCGCACGAAAGGCGUAACGAUUUGGGCACUGUCUCAACGAGAGACUCGGUGAAAUCAUAGUACCUGUGAAGAUGCAGGUUACCCGCGACAGGACGGAAAGACCCCGUGGAGCUUUACUGUAGCCUGAUAUUGAAAUUCGGCACAGCUUGUACAGGAUAGGUAGGAGCCUUUGAAACGUGAGCGCUAGCUUACGUGGAGGCGCUGGUGGGAUACUACCCUAGCUGUGUUGGCUUUCUAACCCGCACCACUUAUCGUGGUGGGAGACAGUGUCAGGCGGGCAGUUUGACUGGGGCGGUCGCCUCCUAAAAGGUAACGGAGGCGCUCAAAGGUUCCCUCAGAAUGGUUGGAAAUCAUUCAUAGAGUGUAAAGGCAUAAGGGAGCUUGACUGCGAGACCUACAAGUCGAGCAGGGUCGAAAGACGGACUUAGUGAUCCGGUGGUUCCGCAUGGAAGGGCCAUCGCUCAACGGAUAAAAGCUACCCCGGGGAUAACAGGCUUAUCUCCCCCAAGAGUUCACAUCGACGGGGAGGUUUGGCACCUCGAUGUCGGCUCAUCGCAUCCUGGGGCUGUAGUCGGUCCCAAGGGUUGGGCUGUUCGCCCAUUAAAGCGGUACGCGAGCUGGGUUCAGAACGUCGUGAGACAGUUCGGUCCCUAUCCGUCGUGGGCGUAGGAAAUUUGAGAGGAGCUGUCCUUAGUACGAGAGGACCGGGAUGGACAUACCUCUGGUGUACCAGUUGUCGUGCCAACGGCAUAGCUGGGUAGCUAUGUGUGGACGGGAUAAGUGCUGAAAGCAUCUAAGCAUGAAGCCCCCCUCAAGAUGAGAUUUCCCAACUUCGGUUAUAAGAUCCCUCAAAGAUGAUGAGGUUAAUAGGUUCGAGGUGGAAGCAUGGUGACAUGUGGAGCUGACGAAUACUAAUCGAUCGAAGACUUAAUCAAAUU
Molecule: ribosomal RNA, 1364 nt
Rfam family: Bacterial large subunit ribosomal RNA